Molecule: transfer RNA, 91 nt
Filed under: Microbotryum lychnidis-dioicae p1A1 Lamole
Lineage: Eukaryota; Fungi; Basidiomycota; Microbotryomycetes; Microbotryales; Microbotryaceae
Also listed under: 1 other name
Description: tRNA-Ile for anticodon UAU
Rfam family: tRNA
About the family: Transfer RNA (tRNA) molecules are approximately 80 nucleotides in length. Their secondary structure includes four short double-helical elements and three loops (D, anti-codon, and T loops). Further hydrogen bonds mediate the characteristic L-shaped molecular structure. tRNAs have two regions of fundamental functional importance: the anti-codon, which is responsible for specific mRNA codon recognition, and the 3' end, to which the tRNAs corresponding amino acid is attached (by aminoacyl-tRNA synthetases). tRNAs cope with the degeneracy of the genetic code in two manners: having more than one tRNA (with a specific anti-codon) for a particular amino acid; and 'wobble' base-pairing, i.e. permitting non-standard base-pairing at the 3rd anti-codon position.
Source: Rfam by way of RNAcentral
UCUCGUGUAGCUUAGUGGCAGAGCGUCAUGCUUAUGCACUUUUUAAACCAAAGUGACUUGAAGGUCGCGAGUUCAAGUCUCGCCACGAGAA